This 149-nucleotide small nucleolar RNA is filed under the name Carlito syrichta (Philippine tarsier). Its description in RNAcentral is "Small nucleolar RNA SNORA57 (ENSTSYG00000036335.1)". It matches the Rfam family "Small nucleolar RNA SNORA57". Rfam says of the family: U99 belongs to the H/ACA class of snoRNAs which are thought to guide the sites of modification of uridines to pseudouridines, the target for this family is unknown. The record is from Rfam by way of RNAcentral. Lineage: Eukaryota; Metazoa; Chordata; Mammalia; Primates; Tarsiidae.
ACUCCUUCUUUGGGUGGGGACUGGGUGUGUGGUCUGGCUCCCUAUUAUAUAGGGAGGCAGAGGGAAAGGGCUCUGGCUCCCUCAAUGCCGUGUCUUAAGUAUUGGCAGUUUCCUGUCCACUGGUUCCACACUCAAGCGCUGAGACACUG